This 253-nucleotide ribosomal RNA is filed under the name uncultured bacterium. RNAcentral describes it as "partial 16S ribosomal RNA". It matches the Rfam family "Bacterial small subunit ribosomal RNA", at positions 524 to 776 of the family's 1533-position model. The record is from RNAcentral.
UACGUAGGGGGCUAGCGUUGUCCGGAAUCAUUGGGCGUAAAGCGCGUGUAGGCGGUCCGGUAAGUCCGCUGUGAAAGUCGGGGGCUCAACCCUCGGAUGCCGGUGGAUACUGUCGGGCUUGAGUACGGAAGAGGCGAGUGGAAUUCCUGGUGUAGCGGUGAAAUGCGCAGAUAUCAGGAGGAACACCAAUUGCGAAGGCAGCUCGCUGGGACGUUACCGACGCUGAGACGCGAAAGCGUGGGGAGCAAACAGG